GCAACGCCGCGUGAGUGAAGAAGGUUUUCGGAUCGUAAAGCUCUGUUGUAAGUCAAGAACGUGUGUGAGAGUGGAAAGUUCACACAGUGACGGUAGCUUACCAGAAAGGGACGGCUAACUACGUGCCAGCAGCCGCGGUAAUACGUAGGUCCCGAGCGUUGUCCGGAUUUAUUGGGCGUAAAGGGAGCGCAGGCGGUCAGGAAAGUCUGGAGUAAAAGGCUAUGGCUCAACCAUAGUGUGCUCUGGAAACUGUCUGACUUGAGUGCAGAAGGGGAGAGUGGAAUUCCAUGUGUAGCGGUGAAAUGCGUAGAUAUAUGGAGGAACACCAGUGGCGAAAGCGGCUCUCUGGUCUGUCACUGACGCUGAGGCUCGAAAGCGUGGGUAGCGAACAGGAUUAGAUACCCUGUAGUCCACGCCGUAAACGAUGAGUGCUAGGUGUUAGGCCCUUUCCGGGGCUUAGUGCCGGAGCUAACGCAAUAAGCACUCCGCCUGGGGAGUACGACCGCAAGGUUGAAACUCAAAGGAAUUGACGGGGGCCCGCACAAGCGGUGGAGCAUGUGGUUUAAUUCGAAGCAACGCGAAGAACCUUACCAGGUCUUGACAUCCCGAUGCUAUUCUUAGAGAUAGGAAGUUACUUCGGUACAUCGGAGACAGGUU
This 657-nucleotide ribosomal RNA is filed under the name Streptococcus mutans. Its description in RNAcentral is "bacterial SSU rRNA". It matches the Rfam family "Bacterial small subunit ribosomal RNA", at positions 391 to 1040 of the family's 1533-position model. Lineage: Bacteria; Bacillati; Bacillota; Bacilli; Lactobacillales; Streptococcaceae. The record is from RNAcentral.